UUAGCCUCCCCGCCUACAUCUUUCUCCCAUGCAGGAUGCUUCCUGCCCUUGAACAUCAGACUCUAAGCUCUUCAGCUUUAGGACUCAGACUGGCUUUCUUGCUCCUCAGCUUGCAGAUGGCCUAUUGUGGGACCUUGUGAUCAUACCCGGAGUUUCUGUCCAUGUCCAAUACAUUCAAGAUUCUUCUGCAAAUCUGAACAGUCAAAUCCUGAAGUACAUGGAGAAGAGAAGAAACCCAUUUGAAUGAAAGAAGCAUUCCAAGUGACAGAAUGUAUCAGAACAUUUAAAGAAGAAAGAAGGACAUCAUUUUGAAUCAUGAGGCCUACUGGAAAAAUAAACAACAAAAAACAAGCAAGCAAAAUACAGUGGAGAGAGCUGAUAGAGCAGUAGAAAGUCUCCUGGAAUAUCCCCACAGGCCGCUGGUGUCUGGUAGGGAGGAGAGAGUGAGGGAGCCACUUUGGACAUCCGAAUCACUUUUAGCAUACUUUACUUUUCCUAGGUGCAAAAGUAGAGAGGCAAGGAGACUAUCAGUCUUACAAUGCUGAUGGUUAAUAGGAGCUUGGUGGUGGUAGUCCGACCAGGGGAGAGAAUUAGAGUGGUGUCCCCAUCACCCACUUGUUUGUUGGCACCUUGUAGUCCUAAACGUGUGAACUUCUAGUUCCUACGGCUGAAGGAAAAACUGAUCUAACAAAGAGGAGUAAUGCUUUAAGUCUUAUCAGAAAUAUAAGCCCUAGCACGAAGGAGUGUAUCUAGUGCCUUCUUGAAAAAAAGAUGGUUUUUUUUUGUUUUUUGUUUUUUGUUUUUUGAGACAGACUCUCUGUCACCCAGGCUGGAGUACAGUGGCGCUAUCUCAGCUAACUGCAACCUCCACCUCCCCAGUUGAAGCAACUCUCCUGCCUCAGCCUCCUAAGUAGCUGGGACUACAGGCACCCGCCACUACGCCUGGCGAAAUUUUGUAUUUUUAGUAGAGGCAGGGUUUCACCAUAUUGGCCAGGCUGGUCUCCAAUUCCUGACCUUGUGAUCGGCCCACCUUGGCCUCCCAAAGUGCUGAGAUUACAGACGUGAGCCACUGCGCCUGACCAAAAAAAAACCUUUUAAUAGACUGAGGAUGGAGGAAGUAAGAACAAAGUACAAUAAUGAGUGUCUGGAGAGGUUGGAGUAGGAGACCAGGCAGAGUAGCUUGGGAAAAAGGCAGGGAAAGGUGCAAACUGGAUGCCAAGAUAAGCUUGGCUUAUUUCUAAUUUUGCCUAAAGUGACAUAAUAUAACUAUGUCCCCAAGCACAUGUAACAUCUGAUCCCAUUGAGAUGAGAAAUUGCCUGAGAAAUUCAGAUGGAAUUUAUGCAGUAAGCAAAGUUGGAAAAGCAUUUGAUCAUUCUAUAGUUGCUUAGUCUCUCUAGCCUAGGAAACCAUGGGAUACUUAAUUCAGCCAUCUCCAUCUAGGCCCUGUUAUUAAUUGUGUAUUGCAUAGUAUGCUUGCAGGAUCACAAUUGCAUCACAAAGAUAAUCUGACCCUGGCUGUGAGAUUUGGAGAUGACAACACAAUUGUAAAUUUAUAAAAUUUACUGCACCUGCUCAGGGGGACAUAAGGCAACCGUGUUAAUUUAUUUCCCAUUCCAGGGGAAAGGAAGGACUAUGAAAAAUAUCAUCCAAAUCAAUAGAACACAGUGAUUAGACUAUCUAUUGUUUCAAUAGUUUCAUCAAUCACUGACUGAAUCUUCUAGUCUGCAGUUUAAAAUCUAGUUAGUACUUUGUCCAAUAUGCUAUAAUACAUACUAGCAGUCUGUAGAGGGUCUCUGUAAUGAAUUACUGCUACAUUCACCAAUUUUCUAAUAAUUCUGUCAAAUCACCUUCUGGAUUCCAAUUUUCCAUUUUUUUCAGUGAUAUACGUGACUAUAAUCCAACAUUUUUGCAAUUUCAACAAAAAACAUUUGAACAUGCAGUAAAUCACUGGAGGUUACCGGGGAAGAAAGGACCUGCAGCCUUGAACAAAGACAGAUUUAGAAAUAUGCUCAGCAAUACCAGCAAAUAGUACAGGAGAAUCUAGGAUAAAGGAAACAGACUGGAAAAUAAACCAUCCUAGAAAGAAAAGUUCAGAGAAUGAGAACCCCUGGACUGUCUCAAAAAAAAAAAAAAAAAACAGAAACGCGACGUGCUCUGAAAAGGAAUAUUUAACCUGGAUUAAUUCAUAAAAUAAUAGGAGAAAAUUUUUGCAGCCAGAAUACUAUGAAUUUCAGUUGACUGAAGAACAACCUCAUCUUUUAAAGCACAGCAGUUUUCCCAGAUAUGUUUUCCAGAAUGCCAAAUCCUAAGUAAAUUGAUGAGAAAACUGUGGCUCAAAAGUUGUGUUACUUGUUAGACAUCACCAGACAUUUAAGUGCCUCACCCCAUAAACAGAAAGAAGAUGAGACUGCAGAAUAUUAGGAAAUACAUUGCCAUGAACAAGUAGGAUUCGAAAGCAGUCUGCUGUCUUAUGCACUGAA
Molecule: long non-coding RNA, 2481 nt
Organism: Symphalangus syndactylus (siamang)
Lineage: Eukaryota; Metazoa; Chordata; Mammalia; Primates; Hylobatidae
Source: RefSeq, a predicted model, not a curated record